Non-coding RNA from Cinara cedri, 211 nucleotides. Lineage: Eukaryota; Metazoa; Arthropoda; Insecta; Hemiptera; Aphididae. The record is from the annotation of a GenBank genome assembly.
GAUUUAUUUUCUAAGCUCAGAAUUUUCCAUUUCCACAACUAGAAUAUUCGAUGAAACAGAUUCAGUUAUUUCCAUAAUUUUGUAUAAAGUUUUUUCUUGAGUUAACACUUUUGUUUAAAUUCACUGGAUUUCGGUAUGCAAGCUUUUAAAGCAGCUCACAACAUCAUUUAGACAAAUUCAAAGGAAUUUUCAUUCAAGCCAGAUACUGAUC